Long non-coding RNA from Armigeres subalbatus, 1554 nucleotides. RefSeq lists it as uncharacterized. The transcript is spliced from 3 exons. The record is from RefSeq and is a predicted model, not a curated record. NCBI's taxonomy places the organism in Eukaryota, Metazoa, Arthropoda, Insecta, Diptera, Culicidae.
UUUCAGUGUUUUGCCAUUAAACUGUCAAAAGAUGUAAAAGCGUUUUACGAAGUUUUCGUCGAGCGGUCGUGUCUUAUACACAAACGCUGUUGUACCGAAAGGCUAUUUAGGACUACUCCAAAAAACAACUUUUGAUGAAGGCCGGAUACCCAUAGUGUUAUAUACCAAUCGACUCAGCUCGACGAACUGAUGUGAUGUCUGUCUGUAUGUGUGCGGGUGUGUAUGUGUGUGUACAAAUCUUGUAGACACACUUUUUUGAAAGUUAGCAUAACCAAAUUUACUCGCAACAAGUUUUAUUUGACGGUGAAUGCGGUCUCAUUGUUUGCCAUUAAAAAUUAGCCCAUUUGGACAUUGCAUUUUGUUAAAAAAAUUAUUUUGAUCUUUUUAGUGGAAUGUCUUCACUUACUUGACUCGACCACUGAAGACGGCCUUACUUUUGAGGUCGAAAUACGUAUCUGUCAACAAUCUUGACUCAAGAUACAAUUAAGUGGUGGAAUUCAAUGGGAUUGCACAAACUCGUCUUAUGACAAGUGGGCAUUGCAUUUUGUUGUUAUUGAAAAAUCUACGUUUUUCCCAAGGGUCCCCCCUUCCAAUAGUUAGUAAUCGAAUUUAAUCUAUACCGUGGUUUUGUGGAGCUAAUUGCAUAACUCCUCAACAGGCAACAUUGCUGCUCGUGGCGCGAAAGAUAGCACACACAAAUUCAGGCUACUAUGUUGCACUGCACAUUUCAGUGAUGCCCUCAAAGAAGUUUAACGAUCAUCACGCUCGUCCGGCUGAACUCAAAUUUGGGUCAGCAUAACUCAAAAUAAUAUCUUCUACUGAAACGUCAAACGCUGAGUAAUUGAGAAUUAUUAUUUUGAGUAGCUUCGACUCAUAUUUAUCUAAAUUGUAUUUGAACUCAAAUAUGAGUUCACCUUGAAAAUUUCCAGGAGUCCAACGAUCGCCUAUAACUCCUCAACAUUAUCCAGCAACAAACAACCUAUUUGUUCCUGAUUAUACGAUGUGGACAUUGAAACGCACGCUCAAACCACGUCAGGAAAUAUCGCGGCCAAGUUUUCAGACUAUAACCAACUACCAAGAUGGUGGUACCGGCGUGAAUAGUUUUUUAUGACCUCUCUUGUGAAAUUGGUCUGUGAUCUCGCACCCGAUACGAUGUUUCGGAUAGUCAUUGGUUCAUUCAAGCCCGCGGCGAGCUCCCAGACGAACCAUGAAAAUCAAUGCGAAUCGGACGAUGAAAAUCGAACGAAUCGGACCGAGAUUCAUUAAUAUAAGUAUACUAGUUGAUGUAUUAUGCUCAAAGAGGUUAUGUACUACAGAAAACGAUUUUCGCUGGGAUUUCCUUUGUUCUUUUCUACAAACAUGUUGAGCGCAUAUCCUUGACACGAAACCACGAAACGAGGUAACGACUGUGACAAUCUUUCUCUGUAGUUUAUAACCUCUUUAACUAUGCUGAAAUAAAUGUUAUUUUUUUCUAUAAUUUAUUUUGAAUUGAUUCUCUUCUUUUAACUGAGCCCGACUGCUUUUAUUAGAUUUGACAAACUCAAAAUUCUAAAA